Molecule: ribosomal RNA, 383 nt
Filed under: uncultured eukaryote
Lineage: Eukaryota
Description: partial 18S ribosomal RNA
Rfam family: Eukaryotic small subunit ribosomal RNA
Source: RNAcentral
CAAUAGCGUAUAUUAAAGUUGUUGCAGUUAAAAAGCUCGUAGUUGGAUUUCUGGUGGGAGCGAUCGGUCUGGCGCUUAGCGCGAGUACUUGCAUCGUCUCCGGCCAUCCUUGGGGAGAGUCUGUCUGGCAUUAAGUUGUCGGGCAGAGGAUCCUCAUCGUUUACUGUGAAAAAAUUAGAGUGUUCAAAGCAGGCUUAUGCCGUUGAAUAUAUUAGCAUGGAAUAAUAAGAUAGGACUUUGGUACUAUUUUGUUGGUUUGCGCACCAAAGUAAUGAUUAAUAGGGACAGUUGGGGGUAUUCGUAUUCCGUUGUCAGAGGUGAAAUUCUCGGAUUUACGGAAGACGAACUACUGCGAAAGCAUUUACCAAGGAUGUUUUCAUUAA